UGGUGGAGCGAUUUGUCUGCUUAAUUGCGAUAACGAACGAGACUCUGGCCUACUAACUAGAAGACAGUUCUUCGAGACUGUCAUACCUCUUAGAGGGAUAAGGGGAUUGAAGCCCCCAAGAGAUUGAGCAAUAACA
This 136-nucleotide ribosomal RNA is filed under the name uncultured eukaryote. RNAcentral describes it as "partial 18S ribosomal RNA". It matches the Rfam family "Eukaryotic small subunit ribosomal RNA", at positions 1299 to 1458 of the family's 1831-position model. The record is from RNAcentral.